This 497-nucleotide ribosomal RNA is filed under the name uncultured bacterium. Its description in RNAcentral is "partial 16S ribosomal RNA". It matches the Rfam family "Bacterial small subunit ribosomal RNA", at positions 28 to 507 of the family's 1533-position model. The record is from RNAcentral.
GAUGAACGCUGGCGGCGUGCCUAAUACAUGCAAGUCGAGCGAACAGACGAGGACCUUGCUCCUCUGACGGUAGCGGCGGACGGGUGAGUAACACGUGGAUAACCUACCUAUAAUACUGGGAUAACUUCGGGAAACCGGAGCUAAUACCGGAUACUAUAUUUAAACGCCUGGUUCAAUAGUAAAACACGGUUUUGCUGCCACUUAUCGAUGGCUCCGUGCCUCAUUAGCUAGUUGGCAAGGUAACGGCUUACCGAGGCGACGAUGCGUAGCUGACCUGAGAGGGUGAUCGGCCACACUGGAACUGAGACACGGUCCAGACGCCUACGGGAGGAAGCAGUAGGGAAUCUUGCGCAAUGGGCGAAAGCCUGACGUAGCAACGCCGCGUGAGUGAGGAAGGUCUUCGGGUCUUAAAACUCUGUUAUUAGGGAAGAACAGAUGUGUAUGUAAAUAUGCACGUCAUGACGGUACCUAAUCAGAAAGCCACGGCUAACUACGUG